RNAcentral lists this ribosomal RNA (427 nucleotides) under uncultured bacterium. RNAcentral's name for it is "partial 16S ribosomal RNA". It matches the Rfam family "Bacterial small subunit ribosomal RNA", at positions 355 to 774 of the family's 1533-position model. The record is from RNAcentral.
UGGGGAAUAUUGCACAAUGGGCGCAAGCCUGAUGCAGCCAUGCCGCGUGUAUGAAGAAGGCCUUCGGGUUGUAAAGUACUUUCAGCGGGGAGGAAGGCGAUAAGGUUAAUAACCUUGUCGAUUGACGUUACCCGCAGAAGAAGCACCGGCUAACUCCGUGCCAGCAGCCGCGGUAAUACGGAGGGUGCAAGCGUUAAUCGGAAUUACUGGGCGUAAAGCGCACGCAGGCGGUCUGUCAAGUCGGAUGUGAAAUCCCCGGGCUCAACCUGGGAACUGCAUUCGAAACUGGCAGGCUAGAGUCUUGUAGAGGGGGGUAGAAUUCCAGGUGUAGCGGUGAAAUGCGUAGAGAUCUGGAGGAAUACCGGUGGCGAAGGCGGCCCCCUGGACAAAGACUGACGCUCAUGUGCGAAAGCGUGGGGAGCAAACA